Molecule: long non-coding RNA, 1013 nt
Filed under: Zonotrichia albicollis (white-throated sparrow)
Lineage: Eukaryota; Metazoa; Chordata; Aves; Passeriformes; Passerellidae
Description: lncRNA (ENSZALG00000004222.1)
Source: RNAcentral
GGAAAUGAGACGUGGAUUGCUCUGGCACACCCUCCCCCCCACGCCAGCCGCUUAAAAAUCCAUCCCCAAACCAAACCGGCCGCGAUUUUCAUUCCUGGAUUUUUCAUCUUUUCCUAAGGAGAUAAGUUGAUAUUGUUUGAAACAGCAACGAAAUUCCUUCCCAGCCACAUAAAUCUCCUGGUUUUAACCGCAGAUCCAGGGCUGAGGCUGGGGAUGAAGCUCGAAUGGGAAAGACCGAGCUGCGUGUGCCUGAAAUGAAAUUAUAAAUCCACAUCCCGGAGCAAGCGAGCAGCAGGAGGCACCAGGAACCUCCAUCAGCAGAAGCGCUGGGCUGCAGCAAGGGAUGGGAUUGGGAGUGGAACCGACAGGGCUGGGAGAGCUGUUGGCAUUUCUCCUGACAAAACCCUGCACAAACGGAGCCAGCCCAGGUGGAACCACAGCGUUGGACCCGCCUGGUGCUCGGCGCUGAGCCCCGUUCCUGCCCCCUGAGCUCUGCCCUCAGUUUCCUCAGCUGUAAAGUGAAGAAGAUGCUGCCAAGCCCUGCUUGAAAAGCGCUGUCAGACGCAGCAAAUGUCACCCAAUGGCUCAGGUGGUGCUUGGUCAGCUGGCACACAGCACAUCAAGGGCACAGCACGCUCUGCAUCAGCUGCCCUCUGAGGGACCAGCAAGGCUAAGGCCAGCCUGGACUGACCAGUGAUGAGUGGAGAGGAGCAACAAUUCCACCCUGCAAGCCAGAGCCAAGGAGGGAAUUGGCCUCUGCCACCCUCAAAGCCAAAUUAACCAAAUCAGCACAGUUCAGGAGGCUUCGGCAGGAGCAAGAGGAGAACUCCAAGGAGGAAUUGCAAUGAGGAGCCCAGGCUGGCUGUGCUGGACCCUUCACCAUGUGAACGUGCCCAGGCUCCAAUGCCUCAGCAGAGCCCCAUGUCGGAGCAGCCCUGCACCUGCAGAACGGUGAGAACUCCCUGGGGUCCAGUGGGACUGGGGGUUGUGCACUGGGACACCCAAAAUCCAGC